This 3170-nucleotide long non-coding RNA is filed under the name Gallus gallus (chicken). RNAcentral's name for it is "lncRNA (ENSGALG00010028212.1)". Lineage: Eukaryota; Metazoa; Chordata; Aves; Galliformes; Phasianidae. The record is from RNAcentral.
AGGACCCACAGCACUCAUUUUUCCCUGCCUGCACAACGCUUCUUUGUCUGCCCACGCACUCCUGGACUGGCUGAACAGAGACCUUCGACUGGAACUCAAGAGCAGAAUGAAAGAUUAUGGUUUGUGGAAGAGUAGUCAAGCUACUUAUGAUGAUUACAGGUACAUAGCAAAGCUGUGCAGGAAGAAAAUUAGAAAAGCCAAAGCACAGCUAGAACUGAGCUCAGACAGUAAGGUGAAGGACAACAAUGAAUAUUUCUAUAAAUACAUCAACAGCAAGAGGAGGGCAAGGGAGAAUCUCCAUCCCUUGUUGGACGCCGAGGGCAACUUGGUGACCAAGGAUCAGGAUAAGGCUGAGGUACUUAAUGCCUUUGUUGCCUCAGUCAUUAAUAGCAAGACUUGUUACUCCCUGGGAAAAAAUCCCCUGUGCUGGUAGAUAAGGAUGGGGAACUGAAUAGGCCCUGCAUUAUCCACAAUGAGAUGAUUUUGGACCUGCACCGAAUGCUGGAUGCUCGAGUUCACGGGGUCAGAUGGACUGCACUUUGGAGUGCUGAGGCAGUUGGUGGAUGUGGUUGCCAAGCCACACUCCAUCGUCCUUCAGCAGUCCUGGCUAAAUGGAAACAUGCAGGUGGACUGGAGACUGGCAAAUAUGAUGCACAUCUUCAGAAACGGCCAGAAGAUGAGCAUGGUAGCUACAGACCUAUCAGUCUUACCUCAGGGCCAGGAUAGGUUAUGGAAAGGAUACUGUUGAGAUUAAUUAAAGGUCAACUAGGGGAUCAGGCCCAGUCAGAAUGGGUUUACGAAUGGUAGAUCCUGCUUGACAAAAUAACUAGCUCCACGACACCGUGGCCACAGGAGACUCCAGGAGCAGGAGAAGAUCCCGUGGAGGGAGGAAGCAGGGGCAGCUGGGCCUGCUGUGCACAUAUACUGACAGACAUACAGAUACCUUGUCACUGCUCUUCUGCCUCCACGUUUCUGGAGUACAGGGAGUUUUGUCUUCACACAGGAACUCCGCCAAGCCUGUAUGUCCAGAGCUGCAUUUUCCAGUCCACGGCACCUUGAUCCCAGGACGUGCUCCGCCACGUGCUUCUAGGACAUGAACAUUUGCACAAAGGCCCCUGAAAGUAAAAGCAUCCCGGCAGGUUUGCACUGCUCCCACACUCCCCAGCGCUCUCUCUAAAAUCUCACACAACACAGACUCUCUCAGACUCUUGACUGCAGCCCAAUAGCACAGGAUCUCCCCUCUCACUUUAUGAGAGAAGAGGCCAUACUUUGUCUUUUUCAGCUUUGCAGAUACCACCAGGCAAGAACUGGCUUUCCCACCCUGCAGCCAGGCAUGCUCCAACCUGAGGGGUGAGUGGCUGUGAGAGGAAGGUCUCUGCGGAAGCGCAGCUCAUUCCUCCCCUCUGACAGGGCCAGAAGGCACGAGACAAAAGAGGAAAGCACAGUGCGUCUGCAUUUCCCUCGUGGCUCUUAUUUCCUGCGUUACGGUGGGAAACGAGCUGAGCCGCUGUGCCUCUCUAUUAUGGUUAGCUCUGCAGCUCUGCCAUCAUCUUUAGACUCAGCUGUUCCUGUGCAUAAUGCUCCACACAAUCACCCUGCAGAGCCCAAAGCCCUUCCUGGCUGCUGUCACUCACCUGGAGGUUGCAGGGUGCUGUGCCUCCUGCCUGUACCUGCUUCUAGGUGUCGCUUGCAAGACAUUGAGAGUCCACCUGGUUGGAACUGCGGUCAACAAACACAAACGUGAAACAAAUCCCCGGGAUGGAGUGCGCUGAUACUGCUGCGUUCUUCCUGCACCAACUGUCCGGGCGGCUCAGCGUGUUCUACAGAACAGCAUGCCUUUGGGAAUGCUUGGAGUAUGUAGCCUGACAGCAAGAGAACACUGCGCUCUUCUGGCUAUUUCUCAACAUGUCAGAGGGACAGGAGUGUGCUCAGCCUUGUGUGGUUGCACGUAUGCAAAAAUCCCUAUCGCAGCUGUAAACAUCUUUGUUGUUCUGCUUUACAGCAGUAGUGUGUGACGAGAAGCCUGCCACUAUCAAUUUAGAGGAGGUAAUUAAUUGUGACAGUUCCCCUUUCUUCUUCCCUUGACGAUGGAGGUGAUGGGGUUCUCCUAUGCUAUGUGCUGGUGUAAUACCUCUGAGCCUCAGUUUUGAUGGGUUCAGCAAAGCUCAUGGCAACAGGCUUUGGUCAACCUCAGAUCUGCUAAUGAGAUAAAUAGAUGAUGAUAAGAGAGACCAAAAGAAAAAAACACGAGGCAAGAGUUGUUUUUUUCUUCUAGUCAGCACGCCAUCGCUAAAUCUUCCAUACUGUGACUUUUAUCUUGAUAGUGAUGAUCCCUUAACCUCACACGUUUAGCACAACGCUUUCUGUUGUGGAGAUUCCCACCAGUGACAAAGCAUUAGUGCCGCUUUUCUGCCUGUCUCUUUUUGUCUGUAUUUUCUGGCGUGUGGGGAUUUCUUUUAGUGGCCCACAAGCACUUCCCAGAUAAGCAAGCAGCACAGGAGGAGGCAGGGGCAAGAGGCAGGAGCAAGGGCAGAGUGGUUUCUUUGUUACUAAAUGGAAUGACUGUAUUUUCUGCAUGUGGAUUUGCCAUAGUGCUUCUUACAAGGCCUAAGGGUGGGAUGAAAUGUGCCCUGAAGCAGGUGUGCUUGCAGGAAGGCACAAGAGAAAUGCAAAUCAUUUACCCCCAAAAUGCAAAUCAUUACCCCAAAGAGGGUAAUCCCAGGAAAAAGAGGGGACAGGAAAAAAUCUUUUCUAUUAACCCCAGACUUGAUGGGAAAGGAAAAGCUGAAGAAGCAGGUGUGUUUGGGGGUGUUCGUCUUCUAGACUGCACCCAGAGAAGGCGAGUGAUUCUGAUGCCGCAGUCUUGGAACUCCAGUCAGUACACAGCUGGGAGGAUUUCUGGGCUGAGAUGAAUUUCUCUCUCUGCAGCUGCUGAUCUAUUGGAUUUUGUGUUCUAGUGCACGGAAGCUUUUGGGCAUGAUUUAUCCUCACUAUUCCUCACACUGGGUGGGAAAAGUUGGCACUGGAUCUCACAUAGCAGCUUGUAACAAAGGUUGGACUUGCCAAUGCCUUCCACUGUCUCCACUCGUCCGGUGCCUCCUUGAAGCGUAUGCCUCAUCAGGAAAUCUUUUCUUAUUUCCUAGCUCUUGCGCAAUAAAGAAGCAUUUCAA